Molecule: ribosomal RNA, 102 nt
Filed under: Candidatus Hodgkinia cicadicola
Lineage: Bacteria; Pseudomonadati; Pseudomonadota; Alphaproteobacteria; Hyphomicrobiales
Source: RNAcentral
UUAAUUUAAGAACAACAACGCAUUAACAUGUUGAACAUGAAUAGUUAAAAUCUUAAAUACCCUGUUGUUCCCUAAAUCAAAGGAAGAUGUGGGUUUUACUGG